Molecule: non-coding RNA, 344 nt
Filed under: Pan troglodytes (chimpanzee)
Lineage: Eukaryota; Metazoa; Chordata; Mammalia; Primates; Hominidae
Source: RNAcentral
GGGCCCGAGGAGCUUGUUGGGACGUUCAGGAGACCCCGAGGUGGGAGGUUUUGGACACAACCCGCAUCUCCUCAGAGCGCCUUCGACUCUGGAGGCCGCCGUGUGACGGCCUGACACAGGGCUGCGGUGAGGACCGACCAGAGAGGGAUUUCCUUUUCGUCCUCCCAACUACCAGGGAUUGAGCACUGGGGGGCCAGGCAAGGGAGAACAUACUAUUUCAUAUCAAAUCAGAUUCUCCACGUUACCUACUCAAGUCAUAAGCAUCUGAAGAAAGUGCUCUGUAAAUUCUCAGCAGAAUAUGCUUUCAACAAUUCUUUAAAAACAAUAAAGUCAUAAUAAAAACC